CUCCUCAGCAGGGCGUGACAGGCAGGAGCACCACAUCUGAGCUGAUUACAGCCCUUCAUAUGGAGCUGGAACCAGGAGGAGGGUGUCAGUUUGUUAGCGCUUCUGAGUGUUACAGACCAACUCAUUGCCUUGCCUUUUGUCUCCUUGUGAACCCGACCUAACUCUUAGUCUUUGUCUCUUACUCCUAGUAUCCUGGACCCAAGCCUAAGACACACCUCGCCAAACCCACAUAACUCUGGAUCCUCAUCUGAGACGCUUCAAGCCAACCAACCGGGAAUUCGUGAAGGACUUCAGAUCAGUCCUCUGCUUAGCCCUCCUGCCUGUCUACCCUUCAACAUAACAGGAGAGAACCAACCGGACCUGUACCUCCAACCUGGACCUCUAAACACCACCCUCCCAUAACAAAACCCAAGCCUCCACCUCACAGAGCCCAGAAACCCCAAUCAGCCAACACCAUUUCCUGUUCAAACCACAAAUUGUCAAUAAACGCUUUAACUAAA
Fundulus heteroclitus (mummichog) is the source of this 500-nucleotide long non-coding RNA. RefSeq lists it as uncharacterized. Lineage: Eukaryota; Metazoa; Chordata; Actinopteri; Cyprinodontiformes; Fundulidae. The record is from RefSeq and is a predicted model, not a curated record. The transcript has 2 exons.